Molecule: ribosomal RNA, 479 nt
Filed under: Vibrio alginolyticus
Lineage: Bacteria; Pseudomonadati; Pseudomonadota; Gammaproteobacteria; Vibrionales; Vibrionaceae
Description: bacterial SSU rRNA
Rfam family: Bacterial small subunit ribosomal RNA
Source: RNAcentral
GCACCGGCUAACUCCGUGCCAGCAGCCGCGGUAAUACGGAGGGUGCGAGCGUUAAUCGGAAUUACUGGGCGUAAAGCGCAUGCAGGUGGUUUGUUAAGUCAGAUGUGAAAGCCCGGGGCUCAACCUCGGAAUAGCAUUUGAAACUGGCAGACUAGAGUACUGUAGAGGGGGGUAGAAUUUCAGGUGUAGCGGUGAAAUGCGUAGAGAUCUGAAGGAAUACCGGUGGCGAAGGCGGCCCCCUGGACAGAUACUGACACUCAGAUGCGAAAGCGUGGGGAGCAAACAGGAUUAGAUACCCUGGUAGUCCACGCCGUAAACGAUGUCUACUUGGAGGUUGUGGCCUUGAGCCGUGGCUUUCGGAGCUAACGCGUUAAGUAGACCGCCUGGGGAGUACGGUCGCAAGAUUAAAACUCAAAUGAAUUGACGGGGGCCCGCACAAGCGGUGGAGCAUGUGGUUUAAUUCGAUGCAACGCGAAGAA